AUUUUAUUUUGUACUUUUAUAGGAAGCACAUAUUGCACAUCUCAGUUAUGACAACUAAAAUCACUCAACGUAAUGUAAAAAACAUUUACACAAGUAAGUAUGCGUUGGCAUACACAUUCUCCCUCUAUACAAAGGAAUAAUACCAUCAACACCUGGCAACAUGGUCUCUAGUGACCAGUUUGAAGGAGUCUAAAGGCUUACGGCGUUAAACGUAGAUGUAGGGCGUAUUUGUGGACCAAUGAGAUCACGGCGUAUAUGGUUUCACAUCUCCCAUCCCCUCCAUAAUCUCCACUUCACGUGGUGUGAAAGCACCCAAAAGAACACAACAUUUAAAGUCCUUUUCCAUCUGAAGGAGGUUUUUCAAUUGGUCCAUUACUACAAAGCAUGUCGAAACACACACACACGCGUUGUCUCAUGUGUGUGUCCCCUUGUUACUAGCAGCAAAGUGGUGCCACGUCCUCGGCGGGUGAGGGGAAGAGCCGCAUGGCCUCCCUGGAGGACCUGCUGUAGCCGUUAUGGAAAAUCAAGGCCUUCUUCACUGUGAAGAAGGAGACGGUCUUGUCCCACACCUCGGAGCUGCCGACCCCCGUGUGGCUCUGCACUGCUGAGCGGAGCCUCGCUGCUCUGUCUGCGCACUUCCUCUCCAGAACCAUCAUCUUACACAUUCUGAGGAGAAAAGGGGGGGGGGAAACGUCAGAUUAAUGCUGAAUACACAGAAAAGACGCCAGUUUCAAAUAUAUCCGUCUGCAGAAACACUUCUCGACUGGAAUGCUCGGUCCUGCUGCUGCAUGCGUAAUGCUCCCAUCAUUGAUCGUCAAACAGCAACUGUCUUCCCUGAACUAGCGUCCCUGCUGGUUUAUGUAGCCUCCAUUAAUAAGAAGCACCACCCAGAAAAGGGUUUCUUGGUGGGCUGCCAUCAAACAUUCGCCUCCAUCGUCUCCAUGUUCGUGAAGGACUUAAAGAAAGUUACAGAAAUCUCAAAAACUGGUAAUCACCAACAACAACGAUCAAAUGGAACCCGUGUCAUUCGUUUUCCUGAUGAAUGUACGAAUGAAAACCUCACUUUAACCCCAGAUGACCCCGAAUGAGACAGACGUUGCCAAAUUGCCAAAUGAACUUCUUCCCCAUGUGAGUUCUCUCCAUUUGAGCUUACGUGGUGCGCUGGUCCCUCAUGGUGAAUACGAGUCAGCGGACGUCCA
Long non-coding RNA from Gasterosteus aculeatus aculeatus (three-spined stickleback), 1199 nucleotides. NCBI's taxonomy places the organism in Eukaryota, Metazoa, Chordata, Actinopteri, Perciformes, Gasterosteidae. The record is from Ensembl.